RNAcentral lists this transfer RNA (67 nucleotides) under Marmota monax (woodchuck). RNAcentral's name for it is "tRNA.Ala". It matches the Rfam family "tRNA". From Rfam's summary of the family: Transfer RNA (tRNA) molecules are approximately 80 nucleotides in length. The record is from RNAcentral. Lineage: Eukaryota; Metazoa; Chordata; Mammalia; Rodentia; Sciuridae.
GGGUGUAGCUCGGUGGUAGAGCAUGUGCUUAGCAUGCAUGAGGCCCUGGGUUCAAUCUCUAGCCCCA